GACGAACGCUGGCGGCGUGCCUAAUACAUGCAAGUAGAACGCUGAAGAGAGGAGCUUGCUCUUCUUGGAUGAGUUGCGAACGGGUGAGUAACGCGUAGGUAACCUGCCUUGUAGCGGGGGAUAACUAUUGGAAACGAUAGCUAAUACCGCAUAACAAUGGAUGACACAUGUCAUUUAUUUGAAAGGGGCAAUUGCUCCACUACAAGAUGGACCUGCGUUGUAUUAGCUAGUAGGUGAGGUAACGGCUCACCUAGGCGACGAUACAUAGCCGACCUGAGAGGGUGAUCGGCCACACUGGGACUGAGACACGGCCCAGACUCCUACGGGAGGCAGCAGUAGGGAAUCUUCGGCAAUGGGGGCAACCCUGACCGAGCAACGCCGCGUGAGUGAAGAAGGUUUUCGGAUCGUAAAGCUCUGUUGUAAGUCAAGAACGAGUGUGAGAGUGGAAAGUUUACACUGUGACGGUAGCUUACCAGAAAGAGACGGCUAACUACGUG
RNAcentral lists this ribosomal RNA (497 nucleotides) under uncultured bacterium. RNAcentral's name for it is "partial 16S ribosomal RNA". It matches the Rfam family "Bacterial small subunit ribosomal RNA", at positions 28 to 507 of the family's 1533-position model. The record is from RNAcentral.